UACGUAGGUGGCAAGCGUUGUCCGGAUUUAUUGGGUUUAAAGGGUGCGUAGGCGGCUUUUUAAGUCAGUGCUGAAAUAUCCCGGCUUAACCGGGAGGGUGGCAUUGAUACUGAAGAGCUUGAGUAAAGUUGAGGUAGGCGGAAUUGACGGUGUAGCGGUGAAAUGCUUAGAUAUCGUCAAGAACACCGAUAGUGAAGACAGCUUACUAAACUUUAACUGACGCUGAGGCACGAAAGUGUGGGGAUCAAACAGG
Molecule: unclassified non-coding RNA, 253 nt
Filed under: uncultured Microscillaceae bacterium
Lineage: Bacteria; Pseudomonadati; Bacteroidota; Cytophagia; Cytophagales; Microscillaceae
Description: contains 16S-23S intergenic spacer region
Rfam family: Bacterial small subunit ribosomal RNA
Source: RNAcentral